UACGGGAGGCAGCAGUGGGGAAUAUUGCACAAUGGGCGAAAGCCUGAUGCAGCUAUGCCGCGUGUAUGAAGAAGGCCUUAGGGUUGUAAAGUACUUUCAUCGGGGAGGAAAAAACAAAACUAAUAAUUUUAUUUCUUGACGUUACCCGAAAAAGAAGCACCGGCUAACUCCGUGCCAGCAGCCGCGGUAAUACGGAGGGUGCUAGCGUUAAUCAGAAUUACUGGGCGUAAAGAGCACGUAGGUGGUUUUUUUAAAGUCAGAUGUGAAAUCCCUGGGCUUUAACCUAGGAACUGCAUUUUGAAACUGAAAUACUAGAGUAUCGUAGAGGGAGGUAGAAUUCUAGGUGUAGCGGUGAAAUGCGUAGAUAUCUGGAGGAAUACCUGUGGCGAAAGCGGCCUCCUAAACGAAUACUGACACUGAGGUGCGAAAGCGUGGGGAGCAAACAGGGAUUAGAUACCCGU
This 461-nucleotide ribosomal RNA is filed under the name uncultured bacterium. RNAcentral's name for it is "bacterial SSU rRNA". It matches the Rfam family "Bacterial small subunit ribosomal RNA", at positions 340 to 789 of the family's 1533-position model. The record is from RNAcentral.